This 66-nucleotide transfer RNA is filed under the name Benthonectes filipes. RNAcentral describes it as "tRNA-Asn". Lineage: Eukaryota; Metazoa; Arthropoda; Malacostraca; Decapoda; Benthesicymidae. The record is from RNAcentral.
UUGGUUAAAGCCAAAUAGAGGCAUAUCAUUGUUAAUGAUAAAAUUGAAGCUCAACCCCUGGGCAUU